This is a non-coding RNA of Phascolarctos cinereus (koala), 193 nucleotides long. NCBI's taxonomy places the organism in Eukaryota, Metazoa, Chordata, Mammalia, Diprotodontia, Phascolarctidae. The record is from RefSeq and is a predicted model, not a curated record.
AGAAGCUGAGGUUAAGUGGCAUGUCCAUCAUCACGGAGCUAUCUAUACAUUCCUGCUUGCUACCUGAUUAGUUUAUAGUGGGUACUGAAGAGGAAGACAAGAACCAUCCAGUGGUGGCUGUUAGAUCAUCUUGGUUGAUUUCAGCAAACAGGCUUUUCCUCAUCUGUAAAACAAACUGGAGAAGGAAACGGCA